AAAAUAAUCCCCUUGCCCAAAUUCUUGUCCACUCAUUUCUUUUCUCUCCUUUUAUUUCUUUGCUUUCCUGUUUUUGUGAGAGAUUUGAAGAAGAGAGAGGUAGAUGCCAGCAACAAUAGCCGACCAGGCCUCUGGCCUUUCCCUCUCCAUGGUCUGGCUCAGCAGAUCGAGGUCCAAUCAGCAGCCCGCCGGCCUCUAAUGCCCAUUUGGCCCAAGGCCAUCUCGCAGCCCAGCCGCACUAACCCUAGCACCCCCCUGGCCCGAUCUCUCCCGAUUUCCCUCUCCCUCCGCCGCCAGGAGACCCAUCUCCUCGAUCCCCAUCCCCAUCGAUCCCUCUCCUCGAUCCCCCUCGUCCUCCUCCCGAGCGCCACCCACGGGACCCGACGCGCCCCUUCUCUCCCUCCUCUCGCUAUUUUUCUUCGAGCAACAGGGAGUCGCGACCACGCCGCGCUGCUCCGGUGACCGAUCGCCAACCACCGCAGUCGGCAACCUCUAGGAGGCCAUCCUGCGCACGACCCCGAGCCUCUCCACACGCGCCUGCGCCCAUUGCUUCGCUCCCGCAAGCGCGCAGCCGCCCCAUGGCCCCUGCGUUCCUCACCCCGGCCAUCUCCUGCUCAUCACUGGAGUCCCAGCUCUACCGCCUCGGUUCGCCUCGGUUCGCCUCGCCGCUGCUCUGCUCCACACCAGCCUCAACCUCCUUCCCUACGCGUGAGAUGCGCUCCUCCAUCAGCCACCUCGCGCCGGCUCCUUCUGCCUCGCGCCCGAAGCCUUGUCGCUGCCUGCGUACGUCUACCACUUGCAGCCGCCGGAGCAGGACCUCCUCGUCGUGGCUUUGCCUCCGCUAGCAGCCUCCUGCUGCCUGUCAACUCCAUAUCCUUGAGCAGCCCAAGCCGCCGGGCGUUCCGGCCCGUGCACAUCACCGUUGACCCGAGGAGACCACCACCGCAGCUGUGCAUCGCGAGGUUGCUGCACUGGACGCCAAGUACCAUGACCAUCGUGUUCCGUUUCUUCACUGCCAAGACCGAGAGGAUGCCAAGUACCAUGACGAUGAGGACCACCAAGUUCGCCUACCGUCGUCAAGUGAACGACUACCAUCACGCCAAGACAUGUAACCGGGACCGUCAGGCAUCUUCGUUGAGAUUUUUGCCAAGUACCACGACGUCCGUCGAUCGCCAAGUACCCCUUCAUUUCGUCGAGACUGGCAAGUCCGAAGACCCCAAGUAUCACAGUGACCGAUGCCUAGGACCUCGGGCAGGACCUCAGUACGACUACACGGUGAUGGCUCCAAGUACCAAGAACGCGUGUACCACUACCGACGACUGAGACCCUGGAUUCGACAACUUCCUCACGGUGACCCUGAACAUCUACGGGACAUGCUCGACUUCAAACCGUGUACCACGUCGAACACGUACGGCUACACGUCGAACCGCCAAGACCCUGAACGACUACUGCCGCCAAAGUUCGCGAGUACAACUACUUCCACAACGCGUCGCGUACGACUACCUCCACCACAAACGUCCCGAGAACAUCUACUUCCUCUACUUUGCACCAAACGAGAACCGUCCCGUUUGCACACUUCGAAGGUAUAACCCCGAGACGACGCCCGUGAACGAAUGAAUGUAUCUUAUAUGAGAUGCACCCUUGUUUUGCCUCGAGUCUGAACUAUCGGAACGUUGCCCCUCUUUUGCCUUGCCACCGACAUGUGGGAACCCGGUUACCGGGAUCACCCCACCAUCUUUUGCACGCUCCCGUCACUUCCUUUUGCACUGGUAUCCCCGUGGGCUACCGGAUAACCGAUAUGUUGCCGUGGCAUCAUUUUCGUAUUUGUUGUCGUGGCACCCCUUUCAUUUCCGCCACGAUGACAAAUGCUUCAUAAUAUGCUCUUGUUAACAUUUUCUUAAAAUUGCAUAAACUUGAACAUGACAUCCGCAUCAUGAUAACAACAUUUAAUAUGUUUAAAAAUUGUUGUUGCAUUAAAUUGCUAAUGCACAUGAGGAUUUAUCGGAAUUGUAGUUUGUUGUUCCGGCCUCAUUUAAACUUGCCUAGAUAGGUAGUUUUUCAUAUGCUUCACCUCUUGCCAUGUUAACAAACAUUUAAUUUUGUUGAGUACCUAACCGAGAUCGAACUAAAUAACUUGAAUGUGGUGUUUCGUCAAUAUACAACGGAGUUGCAUAUUGAGCUCCACUUAAUCUGUAGGAUUGUUUGUGCACUUUGUCAUGCCAUGCCAUGUAUCAUUAAACCGGACAUGCAUCAUACUUGUUUGCGCAUUGUGCCAUGCUUAUGUGGUGGUUGUUUACUAUGUUGUUUGCUUCUUUCCGGUGUUGUUUCUUCGGGUUGGUUCCGAUAACGUCGCGUUUGUGAGGACCCAUUCGACUAUGUCUGUGUGUCUUCUUCAUGGACUCGUUCAUCUUCCUUGCGGUAUCUCAGGCAAGAUGACCAUACCCUCGAAAUCACUUCUAUCUUUGCUUGCUAGUUGCUCGCUCUUUUGCUAUGCCUAUGCUGCGAUACCUACCACUUGCUUAUCAUGCCUCCCAUAUUGUUGAACCAAGCCUCUAAGCCACCUUGUCCUAGCAAACCGUUGUUUGGCUAUGUUACCGCUUUGCUCAGCCCCUCUUAUAGCGUUGUUAGUUGCAGGUGAAGAUUGAAGUUUGUUCCUUGUUGGAACAUGGCAAUGUUGUUCCUUGUUGGAACAUGUUUACUUGUUGGGAUAUCACAAUAUAUCUUAUUUAUUUAAUGCAUCUAUAUACUUGGUAAAGGGUGGAAGGCUCGGCCUUAUGCCUGCGUGUUUCGUUCCACUCUUGCCGCCCUAGUUUCCGUCAUAUCGGUCUUAUGUUCCCGGAUUUUGCGUUCCUUAUGCGGUUGGGUAAUAAUGGGAACCCCUUGACAGUUCGCCUUGAAUAAAACUCCUCCAGCAAGGCCCAACCUUGGUUUUACCAUUCGCCACCUAGCCUUUUUCCCUUGGGAGUCGCGCAUCCCGAGGGUCAUCUUUAUUUUAACCCCCCCCCCCCGGGCCAGUGCUUGUCUAAGUGUUGGUCCGAACUAGAGUCCUUUGCAGCGCCACCUCGGGGAAACUUGAGGGCUGGUUUUAGUUGUACGGAGCGCUCAUCCGGUGUUGCCCUAAGAACGAGAUAUGUGCAGCUCCUAUCAGGAUGUCGGCGCAUCGUGCGGUCUUGCUGGUCUUGUUUUACUUGUCGAAAUGUCUUGUAACCGGGAUUCCGAGCCUGAUCGGGUCUUCCCGCUAGAAGGAAUAUCCUUUGUUGACCGUGAGAGCUUGUGAUGGGCUAAGUUGGGACACCCCUGCAGGGAUUUGAACUUUCGAAAGCCGUGCCCGCGGUUAUGGGCAGAUGGGAAUUUGUUAAUGUCCGGUUGUAGAAAACCUGAAGUUGACCUUAAUUAAAAUGCACCAAUCGCGUGUGUUACCGUGAUGGUCUCUUCUCGGCGGGGUCCGGGAAGCGAACACGGUGUUGGAGUUAUGCUUGACGUAGGUUGUUCUAGGAUCACUUCUUGAUCAUAGUUUCUCGACCGUGCUUUGCCUUCUCUUCUCGCUCUCAUUUGCGUAUGUUAGCCACCAUAUAUGCUAGUCGCUUGCUGCAGCUCCACCUCAUACCUUUUACCUUACCCAUAAGCUUAAAUAGUCUUGAUCGCGAGGGUGUGAGAUUGUUGAGUCCCCGUGGCUCACAGAUACUUUCAAAACCAGUUUGCAGGUGCGGAUGUUACCAAGCAGGUGACGCAACCAAGCUCAAGGAGGAGCUCGAUGAAGAUCUUGUCCUUUGUGUUGUUCCGUUCUAGUUGAUCAGUAGUGGAGCCCAGUUGGGGUCAAUCGGGGACCUUGUCGCAUUUGGGGUUCUUCUUUUAUUUUGGUUCCGUAGUCGGACCUUGAUUGUAUUUGGUUGAGGUAAUGCUUUAUUCAUGUAAUUGUGUGAAGUGGCGAUUGUAAGCCAUCUAUGUACCUCUCUCCCUUAUGUAUUACAUGGGUUGUGUGAAGAUUACCUCACUUGCGACAUUGCUUUCAAUGCGGUUAUGCCUCUAAGUCGUGCUUCGACACGUAGGAGAUAUAGCCGCAUCGAGGGUGUUACAAGUUGGUAAUCAGAGCCUUCCCCGACCUUAGGAGCCCCAUUGCUUGAUCGAAUUAGCGAACGAGUUGAGUCUAGAAAAAUGUUUUGAGUCAUUUAGGAAUUAUAUAUCGGAGAGUUAGGAAUUCUUUUUACUUCCCAGUCUCUUCAUUGCUCUGGUAAGGCGUCCUGACGUAGAGUUUUGACUCUUCUCUUCUCAAAUUUCACUAUUUUUUUAUGAUCACGCGGGUAUCUUGGAAUCGUUCCGAUGGUUUUGUGACGAGAACAUUGUUCUUGGUGCCUCCUGACAUUUAGGGGUUGUGGCAGUGUCCCGGGGAGUUGAGCUCUGAGGUGUUGUCGUCACAAUUUUAUCGUUGCAGUUCUAGAAUACCUGAGUUUAGUUUCGCCGACAUCGAAAAUCUCUUUUAUGCAGUUGUUGGUGAGAUAACCUUGACGCCACCCAGUACUGGGGCGGGAGUUCGGGAGUAUUGCCAUAACUUGUAUAACGGAUGCUUUUCGAAGGUUGAGGUAGACGAUUUCCGAAGGUUUCUUGGUUAUGUGUUGAAGGAUGGAUACAGCCGGAUGUAGGAUUUGCUAGUUUUGGGUGGGAUAUUAUGCUUCCCAUGUAUCCCCAACACCUGAUUGCAUAACCGGGAAAAUUUCGGGAGUUUAUAAGUAGGAAUUCAAGUAGCUCUUAGGAUAUCUUUCCGACAGAUGUAUGAUAUGAAAUUGGGGUUCGACGUCUAGUGGUCCGCCUAUUCACGGUUGGUUUUACAGUGGUCUCGUUGUGUCUUAAAGAGUCCUUGGCUAUGCCGACUCGGGGACGCUUCGUAUGUCAUGUGCACUGCCUUGUACAUGAUGGUGUUGUACGAUCGAGCCCGUGUAGGCCCCACCACAAAAACUUCAGACGAAAUCUCUAUCAUAUAUUUGUUCCGGCUUAUUUUGCAAGCCAAUCCUUUGUUUUUGUUUGGAGUUGUGGUAUUCGAGUUGCUUCAAUGUCAAGUGUUGAUUCCAUACCUUCCCCAAAUGGUGUUCUCAUACUCCGAUGUGAAUACUAAUCCUUCUCGAUAAUCGAGAUUGUUAUGCCAAUCUUGUUCUACCGGGGUGUCUCUCUUCAAGUGGAUCCGAUCACUUCAACAUUCACAAGAUCAAUUAUCAGUUCUUCUCAAUGUUGUUUGUUUCAUCCAUCUCCAAGUUGCCUUUGUUUUUUCCCGCCCUCCCUCCCUUAUUUUUCUUUAAGGACUCAAAUUUCUUAAUCGAGUAUCCAUCUUAUUGAUGUGAAGCCUCUCCAUUAUUUUCCUUCAAUGUUCUUAUCCGGUGAUUCUCAUGAAGAUACUAAAGGAGCUUCUAGUUCAUCAUUCUUCUUUCUUUUAUCUUCUCCGGUGGUUUCAAGUCAAGCUUUGUUGAUCUUACCUCUUUCCUCAUUUCAAUGCCUUCUCAUACCGGUGUACCUCAUAACAAUCACUUCUCACUAUUCAUUUGUUCUGGCGUGCUCAAAGCUUUCUCAAAAGGCUCGUCUUGUCAUUCAAGAUCUGUUCAACCUAUUUCGAAGUUGUUAUCCCAUUCAAGCCAUUUAAUUCAACCGGUGCAAUCUCUCCUUCAAAUCGUUCAAUGGUGUUUCUUUGAGUGGGCCCUAACCCACAGGUCUUUUCCCAGGAUCUUACCUGACUCUUCCUAUUUUCCCGGAGCUAUCCUCAAAAUUUCCUUUCGAAGUUUGACGUAAGUAUGAUUUAUCAUCAGUUAAAUGUCUUUCUCCAAGAUCUUUCAAAUUCAUUUCAUUGUUGAUUCAACUUUUAUAUUCUUCUUUAUUCUGGUGCCUCAAUAAUUCUUGGUGGUGUUUCUCGUUGUCAUUCUCAUCUUUUGAAGACCGAAGAAGAGUUUCUCUUUAAUCUUGCUCCAUUCUUUUCAAGAUUCAUGGUGCUAGCUUGUUGCCAUCCUCUCAUAAUUAUUUUCGAUUGUGAGAAUUUUUUUUCACCCAUCAGGAUAUAUUCAAGGGUAUUUUCAGUUUGAUUAUCCGGAGCCCAUCAUUUCAGAAGACUUGUUCAUUCUCAGCUUUCAGCUCUCGUUCCCCAAAUCUCACCGGUGCAUCAUUCAAUAUUCUUUAAUCAGCGCGUGAUCUCUUCGUUUCAGUUGUAUCUAAAUUCUCUCAAGUAUCUUCGUUCAUUUUCAUUUCUUAUGGUGGUUCUUCCAGGUUUCUCUUCCUUAUCAAUUUAUUCGUUGUCAAUCCUACCGGUGGUUCAAAGAAGACAUUCCCAAGUUGGCACUAUAUCUCUCUUAAUCCUUGCUACGAGAAUAAGUAGUGUGCCAAAUCUGUUGCUUGGCAUAAAUUUAAUUGAUGAAGGAUAAGCAUAAUGUAAUUCUUAUUCUUGUUUCAUCCAAGUGAUUAAUUCCUUACUUCGGAGGCUCAUCAAAUUCUUGAUUUCAUUUGUUCACCUUUCUUUUCUGGAGUUCCAAGCUUUUCCGCAUUAUCUCAUCGCGAAGCUCCAUCUAAAUCAUUUCAAGGCUUCACCUUGUGUUUUCAACUACCCUUUCUUUCCGUUUGAUCAUUCUUUUGUUUAACGGAGUUCUUCAUGGAGGUUCUACAUGAUGGUUCAUCAAGGAUUUAUUUCCUUCUCGAAGUUUUCAUCGAGAUUCUUUUAAGGAGCUCAAGCAUUCUUCUUCUUGUAAUACGGAGUGCAAUUCUUUCUUCCGUACCAUUGGAGGUGGUAUUAUGUCAUUCUUGAUAAUUUUCCUUCGUGCUUCAUGUUUCUCAAGCUAUCAAUAAUGAGGUAUUUUAAAUUCAUCAACCUCUUCGUUGGAAUUAUCUUGGGUUAUGUUUCACCUAAAGCCUUCCCUAAGGAUUGUUACUAUUUAUGGUGCUUAUAAACGACCCUAGUUCUUCAUCUAUCCUCCCGGUGAAAUAGCUUUCUCGUCUCCUUGUUCAUAUCAAUCCAAUUCUUUCUCCCGUGAGUGGUAGGUUGUCACCUCAUAAUUUGAGAUGUAUUCCAUAAGACCAUAUCAAGCUUAUUCUUUUAGUUGUUGGUUUUCCAACAACUCUGUUCUAGCAUUUGUUGUAACCGUGCUCUCUCAAGAUCUUGUUUCCCUGCGUUCCGGAGGCAUUGUGAUGUUGCUCUCUGCAACCCAUCUUCUUGUUUUGUCAGGAUCGUGUUCUUUUCGUCCUUAUCCUUUUAACCGGAGUGUUGUGCCCGCUUUUCGAGUUCUUCCCAUCUUGUCAAGUUUUUUGCCUCCCUUCUCAACCGGAGUGCCGCCUGAAACCGUUCUUACCCAUUGUGCUAUUCUUUCAAUAGUUCUGGAGGAAGCGUAUUGUUGUUUUCAUCAAGUAUCCCCUCAUCUUGUCAAAUUCAUGUUCAAUUCCUUCCGUUUACAGUCGGAGAGCUCUCCAUAUUAUAUCAUUCUUAAUCCUUCUCUAUCUUGUCUUAACCAGAGUGGUUUCAAUAUAUAUCUUGCCCUUCAACCUCAAGGUUUUCUUUCGCAAUGAUUCUUUGUCCCUCUUUUCUAACGGAGUGUUUUCGACUUUGUUCACCUUAGUUGUAUUCUUUUCUCGAAUUUGUUCAACCUCGCAAGGUUCUUUGGUCUCACUCGUUUGUCAAAGAAGCAACUUAGGUUUACCUCUUCUCUUUCUCUUCCGUUUUCCCUCCGGUGCCAUUCUAGAUCUCGGGACGAGAUCCUCUCGUAGUGGUGGAGUGUUGUGACGCCCCGAGACCGAUGCACGAGAAGACCUCCAUAUAUUCCGGGUUUCACCGUGUGUUUCAUUUGUGCCUCCCCUUUUAUUUUUUGCAUUGCAUCAUGUCAUCAUGCCAUCAUCUCAUAAAUCUUUUGCAACUCAACUAAAUAAAUGGCAUGGAUCUUUGAUCCAUUUAACUCGAGGGAAUUCACAUGGUGAUUCUCUUUAUAACAUAUCCUCCUGAUAUUAGGGAGCUAUAUUAAAUAUUUCAUUUGUUGGAAUUAACCGGAACACACUUGCAAAAUAAAUCUCAAUGCCUUUGUUAUCACAAACUCUUGGCCUCUAACUUUGCCCAUAUAUCCUUUCGUCUUUUUCCGGAGCUCCACCUAAAUUCUCAACAUUUUUGGACACUUCCAAAACCUAGUCCUAGUUCAAACCCAUUUGAACUAAAUUCAAAUGAGUUUGAAUUUACAUCUUCCAAUCUUGGCCUUUUAUAUUUUCUUGGGACAAGCGCAUUUUUGUGAGUCCGGGAAAAUAAUCCCCUUGCCCAAAUUCUUGUCCACUCAUUUCUUUUCUCUCCUUUUAUUUCUUUGCUUUCCUGCUUUUGUGAGAGAUUUGAAGAAGAGAGAGGUAGAUGCCAGCAACAACAGCCGACCAGGCCUCUGGCCUUUCCCUCUCCAUGGUCUGGCUCAGCAGAUCGAGGUCCAACCAGCAGCCCCGCCGGCCUCUAAGGCCCAUUUGGCCCAAGG
This 8465-nucleotide long non-coding RNA is filed under the name Triticum aestivum (bread wheat). Its description in RNAcentral is "long non-coding RNA (TAES_LNC020639)". The record is from RNAcentral. Lineage: Eukaryota; Viridiplantae; Streptophyta; Magnoliopsida; Poales; Poaceae.